CGGAUUGCAGGCUGCAACCCGCCUGUAUGAAGUUGGAAUCGCUAGUAAUCGCGGAUCAGCAUGCCGCGGUGAAUACGUUCCCGGGCCUUGUACACACCGCCCGUCACACCAUGGGAGCCGGUAAUACCCGAAGUCAGUAGUCCAACCACGUGAGGACGCUGCCGAAGGUAGGAUUGGCGACUGGGGUGAAGUCGUAACAAGGUAUC
This 206-nucleotide ribosomal RNA is filed under the name uncultured bacterium. RNAcentral's name for it is "partial 16S ribosomal RNA". It matches the Rfam family "Bacterial small subunit ribosomal RNA", at positions 1294 to 1500 of the family's 1533-position model. The record is from RNAcentral.